This 816-nucleotide ribosomal RNA is filed under the name uncultured bacterium. RNAcentral describes it as "bacterial SSU rRNA". It matches the Rfam family "Bacterial small subunit ribosomal RNA", at positions 8 to 853 of the family's 1533-position model. The record is from RNAcentral.
AGAGUUUGAUCCUGGCUCAGGAUGAACGCUGGCGGCGUGCCUAACACAUGCAAGUCGAGCGAUUCUCUUCGGAGAAGAGCGGCGGACGGGUGAGUAACGCGUGGGUAACCUGCCCUGUGCACACGGAUAACAUACCGAAAGGUAUGCUAAUACGAGAUAAUAUGCUUUUAUCGCAUGGUAGAAGUAUCAAAGCUUUUGCGGUACAGGAUGGACCCGCGUCUGAUUAGCUAGUUGGUAAGGUAACGGCUUACCAAGGCGACGAUCAGUAGCCGACCUGAGAGGGUGAUCGGCCACAUUGGAACUGAGACACGGUCCAAACUCCUACGGGAGGCAGCAGUGGGGAAUAUUGCACAAUGGGCGAAAGCCUGAUGCAGCAACGCCGCGUGAGCGAUGAAGGCCUUCGGGUCGUAAAGCUCUGUCCUCAAGGAAGAUAAUGACGGUACUUGAGGAGGAAGCCCCGGCUAACUACGUGCCAGCAGCCGCGGUAAUACGUAGGGGGCUAGCGUUAUCCGGAAUUACUGGGCGUAAAGGGUGCGUAGGUGGUUUCUUAAGUCAGAGGUGAAAGGCUACGGCUCAACCGUAGUAGGCCUUUGAAACUGGGAAACUUGAGUGCAGGAGAGGAGAGUGGAAUUCCUAGUGUAGCGGUGAAAUGCGUAGAUAUUAGGAGGAACACCAGUUGCGAAGGCGGCUCUCUGGACUGUAACUGACACUGAGGCACGAAAGCGUGGGGAGCAAACAGGAUUAGAUACCCUGGUAGUCCACGCCGUAAACGAUGAGUACUAGCUGUCGGAGGUUACCCCCUUCGGUGGCGCAGCU